UGUUGGUUGAUGAGUCCCAAAUAGGACGAAACGCGCGUUAUCCUAGU
Molecule: non-coding RNA, 47 nt
Filed under: Trichobilharzia regenti
Lineage: Eukaryota; Metazoa; Platyhelminthes; Trematoda; Strigeidida; Schistosomatidae
Source: RNAcentral